GACCUGCGGAGGAUCAUUAUCGUGGGGCUUCGGCCCCGUCGAGAAAGCACCCUUGCCUUUACCGUACCAUGGGAUCGACCCCCUCCGGUUCUCCGGGGUGUGGGGCGACCCUGCCCAUUUUCCUCGGCUGGUUCCCCAGCCAGGGGCGACCCUUUGAGGAAGACCAAACACGCUGCAACCACCUGUAACCGCCUGAUAAAACAAACAAAAAUCAAAACUUUCAACAACGGAUCUCUUGGUUCUGGCAUCGAUGAAGAACGCAGCGAAAUGCGAUAAGUAGUGUGAAUUGCAGAAUUCAGUGAAUCAUCGAAUCUUUGAACGCACAUUGCGCCCUUUGGUAUUCCUUAGGGCAUGCCUGUUCGAGCGUCAUCUACACCUUCAAGCCCUGCUUGGUGUUGGGUGCCUGUCCCGCCCCGCGCGCGGACUCACCUCAAAUCCAUUGGCGGCCCCCACGUCGGCUCCGAGCGCAGCAGAAACGCGAACUCGUGGGCCCGGCGGGGUGGCUCCCAGAAGCACAUCCACCUUUUGACCUCGGAUCAGGUAGGGAUACCCGCUGAACUUAAGCAUAUCAAUAAGCGGAGGA
RNAcentral lists this ribosomal RNA (583 nucleotides) under uncultured Pleosporales. Its description in RNAcentral is "eukaryotic LSU rRNA". The stretch from base 216 to 369 matches the Rfam family "5.8S ribosomal RNA". The record is from RNAcentral. Lineage: Eukaryota; Fungi; Ascomycota; Dothideomycetes; Pleosporales.